GGAGGAGACCCGGCCCGGGGGGGGGCGUUCAAGGACCUCGGAGCCACCGGACGGCGUCUGUUGUCCCUGACAGGCAGAAAAGGAAAAGGAUGCUUCCAACCCCCCCCCUCCCGCAAAGGACUUAUAACCAUUGUGGCCAUCCCUGCUCUGCUCGGGGGUGUGUGUGUGCAAUCAUCCUAUCCGCGGCGGCAGCUGUGCGGGCCGGUCGCGCUGAGCGGAGGUCAAGGCCCGCGGCGCCGGGCCCUCCGUCCGUCCCUCCGUCCGUCCGUCCUUCCCUCCCUCCCUCUCGGCGGCCCUUCCAGGAGGCAGAGAGGUAAGAGCGCCGGGCUGGGCGGGAAGGGAAUCCCUCGCUCCCCGGGAACUGGAGCCCUUCCUCCAGCUGAGCAGGGGCUGCUGCCGACGUCACCGCCGCCGCCUCGCCCGGCCAGCCCGGCUCCCUUCCCACGUCGAAGGGAAGUCCGGGCGAGGAGCAUCACCGGCCCGCGGCCCUGGGCUGGCCUGCCUGCGGAGACCCGAGAGAGAGAGAGAGCGAGCGAGAGAGCCAAGAGGGGCCUUGGCAUCACUUCCGACCCCGCCGCCUCCGCCGCCGCCACCGGUGCCAAGAACAGAGUCUGAUUCCAUGCUCGUGAAGAAGACCUUAGGGAUUUAGCGACGAUGAAAACCGCCUUCUCCUGAGUCAGAGGCUCCCAGCCAUCAGUGUGGCCCACGCUGAUGACCAGCGACGCCUUCCUUGGGUCUUGUCCAGGACUCCACGCCAGCCUUACCUGGAGAUGUGGCUGGGGUGGGGGUGGGGGGAGAGGAGGGCUUACGCCUGGGUGACCUUCUGCAUGGAAAGCUGUUCGUUGCUACCAUUGAGCUGUAAACAGCAGAAGAGCUGUGGAAGAGUCUUGGACUGGGCUCUGGUUUCUAGAUCACAGCUUUGGUCGUUCUUGAUACUCCAGCGCUCUCUCUCUCUCUCUUUUCCUUAGGAUGUCAACUGAGUUCUUAAGUUGAAGUCCAAACAUUUUGUCUGCAAUCCAAACAUUUCUAUGUAAUGAGACACGAAUUUCCAAAACACUCCUGUUAACCUGAUAAAUUAUAUCAGUGAAGCUGGAAGAUGAUUAAAGUUGAAAACUCUGUCUCCUCUCUGCCUCUGCCUCCGAUCUGUCUCCUUCUAAGCAAACCUCAGAUAGAUACCAAACUAUAUUAGAAAUCAAUCAUCCACCUGCCUUGGUUUUCCACCCUCAAAGCAAACAAAGGGAACGCCUCGCAGCUUGACUAUCUAAUGAAAUCGUAGUCAUAUU
Molecule: long non-coding RNA, 1283 nt
Filed under: Pogona vitticeps (central bearded dragon)
Lineage: Eukaryota; Metazoa; Chordata; Lepidosauria; Squamata; Agamidae
Description: lncRNA (ENSPVIG00000012133.1)
Source: RNAcentral